Molecule: long non-coding RNA, 1200 nt
Organism: Neofelis nebulosa (Clouded leopard)
Lineage: Eukaryota; Metazoa; Chordata; Mammalia; Carnivora; Felidae
Exons: 2
Source: RefSeq, a predicted model, not a curated record
UUUAUUACCCUAGUGGUACGGCAGCUACUCGGAACUGGGCUCUGGAAAACGCCACACUCCCCAAAGAGAAGUGUCCGUUUUGUCCCAGUACAGGAGACCUAGAGAUAAGAAACCUCCCCGUGUCCCCUGAUUCCCUCUGUGCACCGAAUUCUUAGGCACUCUGCUUCCAUCUGUAAUCCCAAAUAGCCUGCGCCUUCCUCAUUUCCCGACCCUUGUGCGUUCGACUCCGACUCAGACACACGUGGGCUGUGCUCAGGUUUGGAAAGCCUGCCACCGUGUCGGUUUCAUUUCUGCGUGGAGAUGCGGGCAAGGGCCAUCAGAAGAGCAUUUAUGACGGGAAACGUAAGAAGGGCCAAUCUCGUAGCUCAAUUUAACGCAAUUAUUUGGGGUUUAGCUGACAUUUCCUCCGUUUCCCAAUGCCUUCUCCUCAAUCUGCUUUCUAAUGAAAACAUACUCAUUUAAAACUUCAUUUAGAGACUCAGGGAAAAUAGUUUGAAAUUCCUGCGUGGCGUUAUUAAAGUUCUGUACGUUUAAAAUAGUGAUUUUUGGUUUUCGGUGAGGUGACAGAAUGACUCUGGGCACGGUUUUGUUUUGCUUUGUUUUGUUUUUUCCCUUAAAUCCCUUCUGCUUCUCAGUUUCCUCACCAGUAAAAUGGAGAUAGUCAAAACACAUCAGUCAACGGCCUCUUGGAAGAAUGAAAUGUCUGUGCAUGUGAAAUGCAAGGACAGAGCAGUCACCUGGGAAACAGUCACACUGUUAUCUCAUAUCAGUAUCUUUAAAGAAGCAGGCACUUAUUGAAACCUAACAGUAGAUGAAAUUGAAAUAAAACUUGAUCAGCUUAACGACAUUUUCCUGUACUUCCUGGGCUGACCUCCUGUGAAGCAAACUGUCCCAGAAUAUUCAUGGAAAAGGGUACAUGUGCCCUAGGUAAGAGAUCUCUAAGGACCUCAAGACCUGAUGAAGAAGCUGGAAAUUCAGCAUCACACCUAAAAAUGUGGUGGGCUUUGAAAGCGGGUCUGGAAGGCAAGUAUGAAAUAUUGUAUUUGUUUCUUUCAGUGCCAGCCAGCUCUAUGCUUUUCCCAUCAUAAUAAGAUCAGAUUCUCUGAUGGGAUGACAGUGGUUGGCAUUUUAUAGGUUAGUGCCCUGAGAAAAUACCCAGUGUAGGGUUGCCAGAUUUAGCAAAAAAACAAAAAAUAAAAA